AACACAAUUAUCCGUGGUUUCUUUUACAUGCCUUGAACUAUUUUGCAGUGAUGCGGCUGUUGUGUCCAGUGAGCCAGGUUCCAUCCUGAAAUUAUCAUAAAAAUGUGUCUAAAGAUUUUAUUUCUAAAUAUGAGUGCCGUGCGGAGUCAGGGGCGUCUCUGGAAUUAGGAGACCAGGAAAUGCGGGAGCAGCGCACGAACACCGGGGCCGCAUCCAUUCCCAUGAAACGAGUCAUGCUUUCGAUCACAUGGGAAUCCGGAACCCAGGCUUCUAACGCAUCAGUGGGAAGAGCCGGCCAAUUAUAUUACGUGACAAUUUCAUUGUAACCUUUGACCUGUAGUUCGGCUCUUACCCCUGUCAGAUUAUUUUAGUUCCCUUUUGCAGUUUUAUUUCUUCACCCAACAACAAUUCUUUGGUGUCUAUUACGCGCAGGCGUUGUCUCGGCCCUGAGGAUACAGCAUGAGGGUAAGGUCGGGGAUUGGAAGGGAUCCUGCAUCAACGUGUCCUUGACUUUGUGGCAGCAGACUUCCUUCCCAGUUUCUGAAUUAUGUUUGUCAGCCGUCUUGUUUCACCCGCCUGGUACCUCGCGUCAACACCAUUUUCUACUCAAAUCUGCACUGCCCUUCCAGGGUCUCCGCGAACUUGGAAACCCAUGUUUCAGAAGCUCCUUGUGUGGGGCAUCCUUCCGGGUGGAAAUCUUGGACCUAGCUUCACUUUCUCCUCUUUUGCUCUUUAUUCAGCAGCCACAGUCUCAUUUCCUCCCCAGCUUUUCUAAGCUGCAUUUUCCCCCUCGGUUCCAAGUUUCAAGGCCCCGGUUGGCUUCCCUUUCCCCCCAACCCCUCCUCUCAGUCUCCCAGCAGUUCAUGUGGUGCUUCCUAGUCCCUCGCGUCGGUGUCUCCCCUUAAUGCCAGCCUGUCCUGGGCUAGAAGGGCUGAGGGGUGGAACGUGGCGGAAGGAGCUCAGACUGUUGCCUUUCCUUGCAGUUGUUUUGAGAAUUUAGAUAUGGCAGGACUUUAAACUGUGAUGACUCAUAGACAUUCUCUUCAUAUGCCAACGAGUAAGUGUGCGGGUCAGCUAUCAGUACUUAGCGUCUUCCUCGUUCUCUAGGAUGCAAAGUUCCAGUGAAAACGAAGUCACCCACGCGUGAGCACACAAAGGUCUUGCUAAAACGAUCAUGCUGAAGUCACUAGGGACAAUUAAAAGAAAUUAAGAGCUCUUGAGGAGACUGAAGAACAAUGCUAUGUGAUUCUUGAAUCAAACUCCAUAUUCUCCUGGAAAUCCCUUCGACAUCUUUUGAAUAACAAUGGUGCUUUCAAAGUUGGAAGGAAAUAUGCCUGUAAUUGUUUCUCAAACAUUAUGGUGUUUGUGGAGUUUCCGGGCCCGUUUUCCAACCUGCUCUUGUCCAUGUUACUAUUGGUACACAAGUCACAAAGAGAUGAAACAGGGACAUGGAUGUGUAAUUGAAAGAAUUAAUGGGGAUAUGUAUGGAAACACAUGGAUAACUUAAUAUUUGGAAUAAUCUGCCAUUUCAGUGACUCGUGUUUUUUUUUAGUAAGCUCCAUUACUGCUGAUUAUUAAGCAUUGGUUCAAAUAAUAAGUGAUAGAAUAGCACCAGAGCAAUCAAGUAGUCCCUCUUGACUCGCAGUGUGGUUCUGUGUAACUAAUUUUCCACUCACUAUUUUCUUGUCACCUUGA
This 1695-nucleotide long non-coding RNA is filed under the name Felis catus (domestic cat). RNAcentral's name for it is "lncRNA (ENSFCAG00000053660.1)". The record is from RNAcentral. Lineage: Eukaryota; Metazoa; Chordata; Mammalia; Carnivora; Felidae.